RNAcentral lists this ribosomal RNA (626 nucleotides) under uncultured bacterium. RNAcentral describes it as "bacterial SSU rRNA". The stretch from base 1 to 539 matches the Rfam family "Bacterial small subunit ribosomal RNA", at positions 338 to 873 of the family's 1533-position model. The record is from RNAcentral.
CCUACGGGAGGCAGCAGUGGGGAAUCUUGCGCAAUGGGCGAAAGCCUGACGCAGCGACGCCGCGUGGGGGAAGAAGGCCUUCGGGUUGUAAACCUCUUUCAGCAGGGACGAAGCCACUCGGGUUAAUAGCCCAGAGGGUGACGGUACCUGCAGAAGAAGCCCCGGCUAACUACGUGCCAGCAGCCGCGGUAAUACGUAGGGGGCAAGCGUUGUCCGGAUUUAUUGGGCGUAAAGAGCGUGUAGGCGGCCAGACAAGUCCGUUGUGAAAACUAGAGGCUUAACCUCUAGACGUCGAUGGAAACUGUUUGGCUAGAGUCCGGAAGAGGAGAAUGGAAUUCCUGGUGUAGCGGUGAAAUGCGCAGAUAUCAGGAAGAACACCCGUGGCUAAGGCGGUUCUCUAGUACGGCACUGACGCUGAGACGCGAAAGCGUGGGGAGCGAACAGGAUUAGAUACCCUGGUAGUCCACGCCGUAAACGAUGGUGNGUAGGUGGUGGGGUGGUCGACUCCUCCGUCGCGACGCUACGCAUAGACACCCGCCGUCGGGAGGUACGGCCGCGAGACGUAAACGUACAAUAAGUAGUUGUUACGGCGUGAGACGUGCCGACGGCGACGACGAGGGAGGAGG